GACGAACGCUGGCGGCGCGCUUAACACAUGCAAGUCGAACGGAAAGGCCUGCUUUCCCUUGUGGAUUGCGGGUACUCGAGUGGCGAACGGGUGAGUAACACGUGAGUGAUCUGCCCCCAACUUGGGUAUAAGCCUGGGAAACUGGGUCUAAUUCCCGAUAGGACUGCAGGGUGGUGCCUGUGGUGGAAAACGAUUUUCUAGUGGUUGGGGAUGAGCUCGCGGCCUAUCAGCUUGUUGGUGGGGUAAUGGCCUACCAAGGCGGCGACGGGUAGCCGGCCUGGGAGGGUGGACGGCCGCAUUGGGACUGAGAUACGGCCCAGACUCCUACGGGAGGCAGCAGUGGGGAAUAUUGCACAAUGGGCGGAAGCCUGAUGCAGCGACGCCGCGUGGGGGAUGACGGCCUUCGGGUUGUAAACUCCUUUCGACCGCGAGGAAGCCACCUGGUUGGAAGGGUGGUGACGGUAGUGGUAGAAGAAGCACCGGCUAACUACGUG
Molecule: ribosomal RNA, 494 nt
Filed under: uncultured bacterium
Lineage: Bacteria
Description: partial 16S ribosomal RNA
Rfam family: Bacterial small subunit ribosomal RNA
Source: RNAcentral